This 517-nucleotide ribosomal RNA is filed under the name uncultured bacterium. RNAcentral describes it as "bacterial SSU rRNA". It matches the Rfam family "Bacterial small subunit ribosomal RNA", at positions 28 to 541 of the family's 1533-position model. The record is from RNAcentral.
GACGAACGCUGGCGGCGUGCCUAACACAUGCAAGUCGAACGGAGAUAUGCGAACGAGGCCUUCGGGCGGAGAUUGCAUAUUUUAGUGGCGGACGGGCGAGUAACGCGUGAGCAACCUGCCCUUCAGAGGGGGAUAACGGCUGGAAACGGCCGCUAAUACCGCAUGACAUAUACACAAGGCAUCUUGAGUAUAUCAAAGGAGGAAUCCGCUGAAGGAUGGGCUCGCGUCCGAUUAGCUGGUUGGUGAGGUAACGGCUCACCAAGGCGACGAUCGGUAGCCGAACUGAGAGGUUGAUCGGCCGCAUUGGGACUGAGACACGGCCCAGACUCCUACGGGAGGCAGCAGUGGGGGAUAUUGCACAAUGGAGGAAACUCUGAUGCAGCGACGCCGCGUGGGGGAAGAAGGUCUUCGGAUUGUAAACCUCAGUAGUCAGGGAAGAAGCAAGUGACGGUACCUGAAGAGUAAGCUCCGGCUAACUACGUGCCAGCAGCCGCGGUAAUACGUAGGGAGCGAGCGU